Long non-coding RNA from Salvia splendens (bonfire salvia), 1035 nucleotides. RefSeq lists it as uncharacterized. The transcript has 2 exons. The record is from RefSeq and is a predicted model, not a curated record. Lineage: Eukaryota; Viridiplantae; Streptophyta; Magnoliopsida; Lamiales; Lamiaceae.
UUAACCGUCACACCGCCGAUACCUUCGUCUCUUCUCUCUUUCUCUGAUUUUCUACUUCUCCAUUUCAUCGCCGAUUAAACGCAAAAACGGUCGAUUGCAUCCAGUCAUUUGAUCGUCUCGGUGUUGGAUGCUGGUUUUGAAAAUCUGAUUGAGUAUUGUUCAAUUGGGGGAAAGGGUAAAUAAACAGAAAAAUGAUUGCGGAUUUCCACCUAUUGCGGACAAUCAGCGCCGCGAUGCGCCACCGCCAAAUCGGGGAACGUCUCUCCAAUAUCCACCGCCGCUUAUUACACCUCGGUCCAGACACCGUUGAAGAGCUAUUCGAAAGGCAUGUAGUGAAGGACGAUAACAGGCACCUCGAUGAUGACGAAAAGGAACUUUUGACUCGGCAGCGACUCACCAGCACUCGCCGCGAGGCGCUGAGCCUGUACCGGGAUAUCAUCCGAGCGACUCGGUUCUUCAUGUGGCCUGACUCGCGAGGCGUCCUUUGGCGCGAUGUUUUGAGGGAAAAUGCGCGGAAGGAAUACGAGGCUGCACGGUUUGAGAAGGAUCCGGAGGUAGUGACUCGGCUGCUAAUCGGAGGACGGGAUUCAGUGCAGGCGGCGAUCGAUAAGCUCGUGGAGAAGCAGAAGGAGCAAAUCGAGAAGGAAAGAAAUGAGUCGCGCCGCUGAUGAUGUUAAUGGUGUUAUCCAUAGGAAUGAAGAGGCCAUGCCAUAUAAUUGUUUGUUCAGAUGUAGAAGCCUUCUGAGUGUCCACCGUUUACUUCAACAUUAAAAGCUUGCCACCAACAAAACAUUGUUGUAAGAUUUCAUGUGAAGUUGUAAGAUUUUCCAGCAUUGUCAUUGUAUAAGGGAAAGUUGUAAACUAGGCAGUUUAAUGUUCAUACUUGUUUUUAACCUUUUUUUUCCCUUGGAGAAGGGAAGUUUGUGAAAUAGGCAGGAAAUUAGAUUUACCCAUAUAUCAAAAUAUUCAUUUUGCUUUUUGUAAAGUUACAAAUUGGCCAUUUUUUACUUAAAUGGAGUACUAAUUUUCCCUUCA